GUAAACCCUCCUGCAAGCAUUCUAGCAUCAUCUCCUUCGCCGAAAACUGCAUACCAGACCUAGACUGAGGAUGAAGAACGCUGGUAAGAGUUUCAAAACCAAUCAUAAUGCCAAGUCCAAUGUCAGGAGUGAUAAGAAAUCGGCCACUGGCAUGAAUGGAUCUCCCAAGAAGGGAGGUCACGGCGGCAAGUACACUUGGGCUGGCGAUGGGUAUUCUCAGGCUGAGAUCGGAAUCCAGAGGGAAGCCGUGGACGUGAAGGAUCCCAACUUCGAAGACCCAGAAGAGGCCGAGGCCAAGUCCGAGAUCGUCUAAUUACGAUCAUGGUGAUUGUAGUAAUGACCAUCAAACUUUCUACUCUUUAUGAUAUGUAAAUAUUGCUGAUGUGGGAUGAUCCUCGUUUAAAUAAAUAUUUUUCUGGAAUUUUAUUUGAAAUUUACGAAAUAUUUUGAUUAUGCUUGCUGUGAUUUCGUGAUCUGAUCCCCGAUCUCUUAGAUUAUAGAACAAAAUGCCACUAGUACAUGCACUAUUUUCAGUAAGAUUUCAUCUUGAUGUGAUGGUGUCAGUGCAUGUAAAGUUCUGGAUUAGGCAAAUUAGUCUCUGUAUUGUGCUUUAAGCCUUUAACAUAUGUAUCAGCAUCUGCAAUGUUGGAGAAGAUAGACGGAGGAUUGAAGCUUGCAAUGUUUAAUGAUAUUGUAAGAAGGAAAUGAUAUUGGAACUGAUUUUACUGGCGAGAAUGCAAUUAGCAGGCGUCCCCAUUUAAAACUUUCAUGUCUGCAAUGCACGUCAGCUUCACCAUCUUUGCAUUAGUAUAGCUAAACCUCCGCAGGACAGGAACAAAUAGAUCCAAGAAUGGUUCUGCUCUAUUGGAAACAGAUUUGAAACUCCAUAGCUUUCUUGAGUUCUUUGAUUCUUCUGGUAAUCUUUGAUGCAGAACCAUAGAUGGUCAACU
RNAcentral lists this unclassified non-coding RNA (950 nucleotides) under Hevea brasiliensis (rubber tree). The record is from RNAcentral. Lineage: Eukaryota; Viridiplantae; Streptophyta; Magnoliopsida; Malpighiales; Euphorbiaceae.